This is a small nuclear RNA of Echinops telfairi (small Madagascar hedgehog), 108 nucleotides long. The record is from RefSeq and is a predicted model, not a curated record. Lineage: Eukaryota; Metazoa; Chordata; Mammalia; Afrosoricida; Tenrecidae.
AUGCUCACUUCAGUGGCACACAUACCAAAAUCGGAAUGAUACAGAGAAGAUUAACCUGACCCUGGGGCAAGGAUAACACACAAACUCAUGAAAUAUGUAUAUAUAUAU